RNAcentral lists this unclassified non-coding RNA (227 nucleotides) under fungal sp. Its description in RNAcentral is "partial internal transcribed spacer region". The stretch from base 1 to 46 matches the Rfam family "Eukaryotic small subunit ribosomal RNA", at positions 1786 to 1831 of the family's 1831-position model. The record is from RNAcentral. Lineage: Eukaryota; Fungi.
AAGUCGUAACAAGGUUUCCGUAGGUGAACCUGCGGAAGGAUCAUUACAAGAAGAGACCCUAACCGGUCCUCUCAACCCUGCCCAUCGUACCUUUUUUGUUGUUCCCUCGGCGGUGCUCGCGGGCCCGCCGGCGGGAAGACCAAACAAACCCUUUGCAAACAAGCAUAUCGAAUCUCUGAUCAAACAUGAAUUGUCACAACUUUCAACAAUGGAUCUCUUGGUUCUGG